This 253-nucleotide ribosomal RNA is filed under the name uncultured bacterium. RNAcentral describes it as "partial 16S ribosomal RNA". It matches the Rfam family "Bacterial small subunit ribosomal RNA", at positions 524 to 776 of the family's 1533-position model. The record is from RNAcentral.
UACGUAGGGCGCAAGCGUUGUCCGGAAUUAUUGGGCGUAAAGAGCUCGUAGGCGGCUGUUCAAGUCGAACGUGAAAACUCGGAGCUCAACUCCGAGCCUGCGUUCGAUACUGGACGGCUAGAGUCUGGUAGGGGGAUCUGGAAUUCCUGGUGUAGCGGUGGAAUGCGCAGAUAUCAGGAGGAACACCGAUGGCGAAGGCAGGUCUCUGGGCCGAUACUGACGCUGAGGAGCGAAAGCGUGGGGAGCGAACAGG